This 7909-nucleotide long non-coding RNA is filed under the name Lactuca sativa (garden lettuce). RNAcentral's name for it is "long non-coding RNA (LSAT_LNC005773)". The record is from RNAcentral. Lineage: Eukaryota; Viridiplantae; Streptophyta; Magnoliopsida; Asterales; Asteraceae.
AGAGGCCUCGGUGUUAUUGGUGUUAUUCUAGUCAUUCAGCAGAGUAUGGAUGACGACCACGGACUAUUCUAGACUGUCCUGUGGAACACUAGCAGGCUCAUUACCUGUAGGUGUUGUGAACGACGUGUUCACCGGUGUACUCUAUCCCCCACAUGGUUGCCUUUAGGACACUUAUUGUUGAGGAAGCCCCUCUGCAGUAAUGUCCGUCCCGAUGAAAAUCCUGAAAUAAGUUCCUUAUAAUAGACGUUAUUUUUAGGAACGUAAGGUGAGGAUAACGGGAAUGGGUAAUCGGGUUUAUUGUUGAUUGUUGUAAUUAAAUAUAAUUAUUGUGGGUUUGAAAACCCUAUAUGCUCACCAGGCUCCCAAGCCUGACCCACUCAGUUGAUUUGUAUUACAGGAAGUGGCGCAAGAGCUUAAGAUGGGCGAAUCAUCAAGUUGUUUUUGUUUACAAGUCUGUAUAUGUAUAUAUUUGUUGAACGACUUGUAAUGUUAUCGUUUAUGCUUUAUGAUCUGUAUCGGAACAUGACAUCCCGACUUUUGAUUAUGAAAUGAAAUCAUAUUUCUAUAUGAAAUGUUUUGAUAAAUAUCUAUUUUAUCAUGUUUUGUUUUUGGGAACAAAUUCCGCAUCUCUUUUAAAAUCAAACGGAUUUACUCUGAAAAUGUUUUAAAAAGCAUAAAUGAAAUCGGUCUUUUCUGGCCGAGAUUUUGGGGAUGUCACAGUUGGUAUCAGAGCAUUAGUUUAAGCGAACUAGGAAUUUGUAGGAUUUCUAGACUUAAACUUAGUAUGCUAAGUGGAGAUUGUGAGAUGUGUGUCUGAUAAAUUUUAGACACGAGCACUAGUUUAUUUUAGGAAAGUUGCCUAAAAUGCUUUUAUGUGCUAAAUGUUAUAUGUUGCCAUAUAUGAUAUUGUUUGUUCGGAUCUACGGUUUGUUGCCAACCGGAUCUGAAGGUUUAUGUGUUUAGGAUUCUAAGCGUAUGUAUACGAUAUUAGAACUAGCAUGUAAUCGUUUGGAGUAAUAAGGUGAAAUUAUUCGGUGUGUAGAUCAAAAAUGGUGAGAACAAGAAGCGGAGUUGGAAAUGCUGAUGAAAACAGGAAUCAACCGCCUGUAAUUCAACAAGUACCUGUCGUAGCUGAUGCACCUGAGCCGAUAACAAUGGCUGGUGUACAAAUGAUGAUUCAAAUGAUGUUGGAUCGUCAGAUGGAAGAAACAAGACGCCUGCUUAGGCAGAAUCGUGAAGAACCGUCAAUUCAAGCGGAAGAGCCCGAGGAGAAUGGAGGGCAGUCUGAAGGAGAAAACUUUAGUGGGAUCAUUGGUCAAGACGAACAACCAGUGGUUAGACGCAAUAACCAGUAUGGAGGAAAUGAUGGUCGUGGGUGCAAGUAUAAGGAUUUCAUGGCAUCCAAACCACCAUGUCUAUCCGGAAGCCCGACGCCGGUGCAAGUUAUGGACUGGGUCUCCGAAAUGGAGACUAUGUUUGAAAGUUGCGAAUGCAGCAACAGGCAGAAGACCGCUCUUGCGAUCCCUCUGCUAAAAUCUGGCGUGUUGAGUUGGUGGAAGCUGUUAGCUGACUCUAUGCCCAAGGGAGAAGCAAGCAAAAUGUCUUGGGAAGACUUUGUGGAACAACUAAAAAUGCAAUACUGCUCCGAGCAGGACCUUCUGGAAAUCAGUAAUGAGUUUCAGAAUUUGAAGAAAGGGAAAUUGAGCGUUACUGAAUACGCUGCAAGUUUCACAGAAAAGAUGAAGUUUAUCCCAUAUUUGGUGCCUACAGAACUCUCUAAGGUCAACAAGUUUGCCCUUGGACUACCAGCGGACUAUGGUCCAAUGGUUAAGCAAGCAACCACAUUGAAAGCCGCCAUCUGGGCUGCUAGAAAUGUUGAGACCCAGAUCAGGGAAAAAGGUCUGGAAAGGUCAGAGGUUGGCGAGAAAAGGAAAAUCGAUGGAUUUUCAGGGUCCAGCAAGAAAAGUAAAUUCUCGAAGUCUAGUUCGAGGGGAAGUGGAGGAAAGGUAGAAGCGAAAUGGUGUGACAAGUGCAAGAAGAAGCAUUAUGGGAAGUGUGGCGGGGAAACCACAUGCUUCAAAUGUGGAAAGCCAGGGCAAUAUGCCAAUGACUGCACUUUCACCAAGAAUGUUUGUUACAGUUGUGGUGAGGAAGGGCACAUCUCAAGGGAUUGUCCGAAAAAGAAGGAAGCAGCAAGACCCAACAUUCCGCCAAAGCCAAAGGCGAGAGCAUUCCAGAUGACACUGGAAGCUGCUAAAGAUGAAGCUGAUGUCGCUUCAGGUACCUUUCUCGUUAACAAAUUGCCUGCCCAAAUUUUAUUUGAUUCUGGAGCCAACUACUCCUUUAUAUCGCAUGAAUUUGGUAGAAAACUAGCUUUGCCUGUUGAUAGACUAGAUAAUGCUUUAUUAGUCGAAGUUGCUAGUGGCAAGUUUGUACCUGUUAGCCAUCGUAUGAAAAACAUCUUAAUUGAUCUGAAUGGGAAUAAGUUCCACGAGGAAUUAUUGCCUAUCGAACUUAACGGUUUCGACAUCGUUUUGGGAAUGGAUUGGCUUAGCGCCAAUGAUGCCGAAAUUUUAUGCAAGAAGAAAAUAGUGAAAGUGAACCCGCCUGGGAAGGAAUCGUUUAUGGUGUACGGAGAUAAACGCAGAGUAAAUUCUGGAAUCAUUUCUCUAAUGAAAGCCAGAAAAUGUUUGACCAAGGGGUGUACAUCAUACUUAGCAUUCGUGAUCGAUGCUAAGAAGGAAAAGAAGGUGAUGCAAAAUAUUCCUGUUGUGUGUGAUUAUCCGGAAGUAUUUCCCGAAGAUCUUCCUGGAUUACCGCCCGAUCGACAAGUAGAAUUUCGUAUCGACUUGUUGCCCGGAACAACGCCAAUUGCAAAAGCACCUUAUCGAUUAGCACCGACGGAGAUGAAGGAGCUAAUGAUGCAACUUCAGGAGUUAUUGGACAAAGGUUUCAUUAGACCUAGUUCAUCACCCUGGGGAGCUCCGGUGUUAUUCGUAAAGAAGAAAGAUGGAAGCAUGAGGAUGUGCAUUGAUUACCGAGAGCUGAAUAAGGCAACAAUAAAGAAUAGAUAUCCGUUGCCGAGGAUUGAUGACCUAUUCGAUCAACUACAAGGUUCAAGUUAUUUUUCAAAGAUCGACCUGAGGUCAGGAUAUCAUCAGCUGAAAGUAAGGGAGCAGGAUAUAGAGAAGACUGCAUUCAGAACGCGAUAUGGACACUAUGAGUUCUUGGUUAUGUCGUUUGGACUAACCAAUGCUCCAGCAGCAUUCAUGGAUUUAAUGAACAGAGUUUGUAAUCCGUUCCUUGAUAAAUCUGUGAUAGUGUUCAUAGAUGACAUUCUGAUUUAUUCAAAAAGCCAAGAGGAGCAUGGCAGACACUUGCGAGAAGUGUUAGAAGUCUUGAAGAAGGAGAAGUUGUAUGCGAAGUUCUCCAAAUGUGAUUUCUGGAUUCGUGAAGUCCAAUUCUUGGGUCACGUGGUCAACCAAGAAGGGAUAAUGGUUGAUCCAGCGAAGAUCGAAGCUGUGAUGAAGUGGGAACAACCGAAAAGUCCCACGGAGAUCCGAAGCUUUUUAGGAUUAGCCGGAUAUUACCGAAGGUUUAUCCAAGGCUUUUCUUCGAUCGCUAGUCCAUUAACAGCUUUGACCCACAAAGGAGCUACUUAUGCUUGGAGUGAUAAGCAUAAAGAAGCAUUCGAGAAGCUAAAGAAGAAACUAUGCGAGGCACCGAUACUUUCUCUACCCGAUGGAGUUGAAGACUUCGCUGUUUAUAGCGAUGCGUCUGGGGUUGGAUUGGGUUGUGUUUUGACCCAAAGAGAUAAGGUGAUCGCAUAUGCGUCUCGACAGCUGAAAGAGCACGAAAAGAACUACCCGACUCAUGAUUUGGAGUUGGCAGCGGUAGUUUUCGCACUGAAAAUAUGGAGGCAUUACCUCUAUGGCACGAAGUGCAAACUUUUCACUGAUCAUAAGAGUCUCCAAUAUCUCUUUAGUCAGAAAGAAUUGAAUAUGAGGCAACGACGCUGGCUGGAAUUACUUAAGGACUACGACUGUGAGAUACUUUACCACCCCGGUAAGGCCAAUAUUGUUGCUGAUGCUCUCAGUCGGAAGGUCAAUCUUGAAAAGAAAAGGCCAAGAGCGUUGAGAAUUGAAGUUGUCUCGACUAUUUUGGAAAGUAUAAAGAAAGCUCAAAGCGAAGCUUCUGAGAAAAAUGACCGAAAGGAGGAACGUUUGGGCAAAACGUUGGUGUUCGGUGUAAACAGUCACGGACUGAAGGUGUUCCAAGAUCGGAUUUGGAUACCUAAGACAGGAGGAGUCAGAGAUCUUCUGAUGGAAGAAGCUCACAAAACCAUGUACUCGAUUCAUCCCGGUAGCACAAAAAUGUAUAGGGACCUGAAACCCUAUUAUUGGUGGCCGACGAUGAAGCUCGACAUUGCGAAGUAUGUGGCCGAGUGUGUGACCUGUGCAAGAGUCAAGGCACAACAUCAGAAACCAUACGGGAGUUUAGAACCAUUACCUGUGCCUAUGGGUAAGUGGGAAGACAUUGCUAUGGAUUUUGUCACUAAACUACCCAGAACAAAAAGUGGUCACGACAUGAUUUGGGUGGUCGUUGAUCGAUUCACUAAGAGUGCGCAUUUCAUAGCAGCCAACGAGAAAUGGUCUAUGGAAAAGCUUGCGAAUUCUUACGUGAAGGAAAUUGUGAGGCUUCACGGUGUUCCGUUAACGAUUGUGUCGGAUCGUGAUAGUCGUUUCACCUCACGAUUUUGGAAAAGUCUACAAGAGGAAUUGGGUACCAAGUUGUGUUUAAGUACAGCUUACCAUCCGCAGACUGAUGGUCAGAGCGAAAGAACGAUACAAACACUUGAAGAUAUGCUGAGAGCGUGUACCUUGGAAUUCCUAGGUAAUUGGGAUGAACAUUUACCUUUGGUAGAAUUUUCCUAUAAUAAUAGUUUUCACUCGAGCAUAAAGAUGGCACCUUAUCAAGCAUUGUAUGGACAGAAGUGUCGUACGCCGUCUUGUUGGCUUGAGGCUGGGGAAAAGCAGUUUAUGGGACCGGAGAUAGUCCAUCAAACGGCUGAAAAGUUGAAAAUAAUUAGGGAAAGAAUGUUAGCAGCUCAGGACCGUCAAAAGAGCUAUGCUGACAAAAAGCGAAGACCGAUGACUUUUGAAGUUGGAGAUUCGGUUUUGCUUAAAGUCUCGCCGUGGAAGGGACUUAUAAGAUUUGGUAAAAGGGGAAAGUUAAGUCCAAGGUUUAUUGGACCGUUUAAAGUUCUUCAGAGGAUUGGGAACCAAGCUUACAAGCUCGAACUACCAGAAGAACUGAAUGGAAUUCAUAACACUUUUCAUGUGUGUUAUUUGAGGAAGUUCACGGGAGAAGUUCCCGACAUAAUUCCAAUUUCUGAAUUGAGAAUUGAUGAGAACAAAAGGUUGAUUGAAGAACCAGAGGCAAUUGUUGACCGAAAGACUAAGAAAUUGCGACGCAAAAUGGUUGGGUUAGUGCUUGUCCGAUGGAAACACACGAAUGGGCCGAAUCUCACCUGGGAGACGGAGAGUGACAUGUUGAGUCGCUAUCCGCAUUUGUUUGCUGAUGUGUGAUUCCGGGGACGGAAUCAUUCUAAGGUGGAGAGAAUUGUAACGCCCGUGUUUCUGGGCUUGCCAUUUUUAGCAAUGUAAUAGUCUAGGUUAACCUUUGUAACCCCAAUUUGAAAUAAUAAAAAUGUAUUAUUUGUGAAUUAUGUGAAUUAUGUGAUUUAUGUGUUUAUUUUCUUAAUUAUUAUAAUUUAAUGAAUUAAGAAUAAAAUAAGCGUCAAAAUUAAAGUGUGAGAUAAGCCCGAUAUCUUUGCAUAAAGUUGUAGUGGUUGAAACAAGGAUUCCGGAGAUAUAAGGAAUGCCAAAAUCCGAGUUAUAACGAAGAAGUUAUGACCUGUCGAAGUUUCGCGACAGAACCGGCACGACGUCGAGUGACGUAAAAUAUGAAUUUAAGAUAGAGCGAUAUUUAGCCUUAGCGAUCUAAACGAAAGUCGUAGAUUUCGUUAAACCGAGAGCGUGCAUAAAAGGAACGCCCAAAUCUGACUUCGUAUGAGGAAGUUAUGAUUUUUCUAAGUUUCGACUUAGCAGUAUGCAGCCCGAAUACUCGAUUUGAGAUCGAGCAGCUUUUAGCCGAAACAAUCUAAAUGAGAAUCGAAGAUCUCGUUGUUAGUAGCGAAACGAUGAAAAGUUAGGCGAGAACGGACGUCAGACGAAGAAGUUAUGAAUUUAUAACGAAGUUUUUCUGUCCCGGCCUUCUAAAAAUAAAUAAUAAAAAUAAAAGUCAAAAUUAGCCGACGGAGUCUAAAUGAAAGUUGUAGAGUAUGGUCUGACCUUCGCGUGGAUAUAAAGAACGUCGAAAACGGAGCUCGUAUGCGAAAGUUACGCAAUUUAGAAGUUCGACGAGUCAAUUACGCCCCGCGUAAUUGAGUACGCCCCGCGUACUCAGUCGGAUGCAACUUGUCUGACCAAUACUCGAGUGCCACAGAUCGACGCAUGCAGUGACGUCAAAGUACGCCCCGCGUAACCGAGUACGCCCCGCGUACUGAGUACGCCCUGCGUAAUUUGAGAUUACGCCCCGCGUAAUCCCAGACCCUCAGCCUAUAAAUAGAACUCGAAAUCAGCCAUUUUCUCUUGUUCAAACUCUUCCCUCUCUCUAAGUUUUGCCUCGAUUUGCGUGCCAAUCAUAUCCCGAAGCCCCGGUAUCAUUCCCGAGCCCCGAAGCGAGAUCCGAAGCCCCGAGAAUCCCGAAGAGCGUUAUUCCCGAGCCGAAGCCCUGCCCGCGAGGAGCCGGUUUUUGUGAAGAUCUUCCAGAUCUGCGGAGAGACGCUACUUCUAUAAGCCGUAGUGCUGUCGGAUCAUCUUCUGAUCAAGUGAGUGUAUAGUCCCUUUUCAAUACGCAAUAUUAUGAAGUAUUUAAUAUAAAAUACGUGCUACGUGUAUAUAUUUUGUGGUUAUAUGUGUGAAUGUAUAUUCACUCUCUUCUAUCUCAUAGAUCUGAUAUAUUCUCUAUGAAAUACGUGUUAUGUGUGUAUGCCUCAUCUGUUAUGUGGAAUAUGUAUUGAUUAAAGCAUGCUAUACAGGUUUUUAAACAAUGUAUAAAAAUGUAUAUUUUUAUCUACUAAUAUGUUGGGUAGAACAUGGGUAGAUAAUUGGUGUGAAAUAAACAGAUGAGAGGCCUCAAUGUUAUUGGUAUUAUUCUAGUCAUUCAGCAGAGUACAAAUGACGACCACAGACUAUUCUAGACUGUCUAGUGGAACACUAGCAGGCUCAUUACCUGUAGGUGUUGUGAACGACGUGUUCACCGGUGUACUCUAUCCCCCCCAUGGUUGCCUUUAGGACACUUAUUGUUGAGGAAGCCCCUCUGCAGUAAUGUCCGUCCCGAUGAAAAUCCUGAAAUAAGUUCCUUAUAAUAGACGUUAUUUUUAGGAACGUAAGGUGAGGAUAACGGGAAUGGGUAAUCGGGUUUAUUGUUGAUUGUUGUAAUUAAAUAUAAUUAUUGUGGGUUUGAAAACCCUAUAUGCUCACCAGGCUCCCAAGCCUGACCCACUCAGUUUAAUUGUAUUACAGGAAGUGGCGCAAGAGCUUAAGAUGGCGAAUCAUCAAAUCGUUUUUGUUUACAAGUCUGCAUAUGUAUAUAUUUGUUGAAUGACUUGUAAUGUAAUCGUUUAUGCUUUAUGAUCUAUAUCGGAACAUGACAUCCCGACUUUUGAUUAUGAAAUGAAAUCAUAUUUCUAUAUGAAAUGUUUUGAUAAAUAUCUAUUUUAUCAUGUUUUGUUUUUGGGAACAAAUUCCGCAUCUCUUUUAAAAUCAAACGGAUUUACUCUGAAAAUGUUUUAAAAAGCAUAAAUGAAAUCGGUCUUUUCUGGCCGAGAUUUUGGGGAUGUCAC